UACGGAAGGCAGCAGUGGGGAAUAUUGCACAAUGGGCGAAAGCCUGAUGCAGCUAUGCCGCGUGUAUGAAGAAGGCCUUAGGGUUGUAAAGUACUUUCAUCGGGGAGGAAAAAACAAAACUAAUAAUUUUAUUUCUUGACGUUACCCGAAAAAGAAGCACCGGCUAACUCCGUGCCAGCAGCCGCGGUAAUACGGAGGGUGCUAGCGUUAAUCAGAAUUACUGGGCGUAAAGAGCACGUAGGUGGUUUUUUUAAGUCAGAUGUGAAAUCCCUGGGCUUAACCUGGAACUGCAUUUUGAAACUGAAAUACUAGAGUAUCGUAGAGGGAGGUAGAAUUCUAGGUGUAGCGGUGAAAUGCGUAGAUAUCUGGAGGAAUACCUGUGGCGAAAGCGGCCUCCUAAACGAAUACUGACACUGAGGUGCGAAAGCGUUGGGGAGCGAAACAGGGAUUAGAUACC
RNAcentral lists this ribosomal RNA (457 nucleotides) under uncultured bacterium. Its description in RNAcentral is "bacterial SSU rRNA". It matches the Rfam family "Bacterial small subunit ribosomal RNA", at positions 340 to 786 of the family's 1533-position model. The record is from RNAcentral.